RNAcentral lists this ribosomal RNA (460 nucleotides) under uncultured bacterium. RNAcentral's name for it is "partial 16S ribosomal RNA". It matches the Rfam family "Bacterial small subunit ribosomal RNA", at positions 338 to 795 of the family's 1533-position model. The record is from RNAcentral.
CCUACGGGCGGCAGCAGUGAGGAAUAUUGGUCAAUGGCCGGAAGGCUGAACCAGCCAAGUCGCGUGAGGGACGACUGCCCUAUGGGUUGUAAACCUCUUUUAUAAGGGAAGAAUAAAUGCUACGUAUAGCAUGUUGCAUGUACCUUAUGAAUAAGCAUCGGCUAACUCCGUGCCAGCAGCCGCGGUAAUACGGAGGAUGCGAGCGUUAUCCGGAUUUAUUGGGUUUAAAGGGGGCGUAGGCGGGUUGUUAAGUUAGUUGUUAAAGGUUGGGGCUCCACCCUAAAAUUGCAUUUAAAACUGGCAGCCUUGAGUACAGACGAGGUAGGCGGAAUAAGUGAAGUAGCGGUGAAAUGCUUAGAUAUAACGUAGAACUCCGAUAGCGAAGGCAGCUUACCAGACUGCGACUGACGCUGAAGCACGAGAGUGUGGGUAGCGAACAGGAUUAGAUACCCGUGUAGUC